RNAcentral lists this long non-coding RNA (1046 nucleotides) under Anser brachyrhynchus (Pink-footed goose). RNAcentral's name for it is "lncRNA (ENSABRG00000005853.1)". The record is from RNAcentral. Lineage: Eukaryota; Metazoa; Chordata; Aves; Anseriformes; Anatidae.
CCGAAACCCUUAAAUAAGCCAAGUUCAGGCUCCCAGCAAAAUCCAGCUGGCUCUUCUGCCUGCUCAGUGCCUGGGCUAACCCGCCGGCUGCUGGGGCUUCCCCCGCUCUCAGGAUGCCGUCUGCACGCUGGGAACCGCAUUUUGUACAGAAACUUGCUCCAUCCCAAGCACUGUGCAGUGCGGUGCACCUCACGGUGUGACUGGAGGGUGGCAACAGUGCUAGUGGUGCUACAUGUGAGUCGGGAUGAUAAGCCUGUGUGUUUGCAGAGCUUUUCUCCGGUCUCCUGCCUGUGGCUUUGCCUCCUGGGGCUUUGUCUCUGUCUCCAGUGCCUGAUGUGUCUUCCAGCAAAUAGCACAUGUUUGCUGGCAUAUGGACCUGCUUGUCUCUUGAGACAGCUGGAGUUGGAUGUGAUGUGUGGGAAUAUGGAGAAUGUCUCUGAGCUGCUUUUUCAUAAACCUUUUUGGAGAACAGCUAUCGAACCUUUAGAAGGUUCCUGUGCAGAUCACCUCCUUCAGAGAUCCCUUGUAGCUACCUCAGGGCCCGUGGGGUGCAGGAGGGGCCUGGGACCACGCUCUGACCCUCCCGGGCUGAUGCUGGUGCUGUCGGAGCUGGCGGCUGUUGCAGUCGGUGAGAAUUAACCGUCGUCACCUGGGGACUACGAAGGAGGAUUCAUGUCGUUCCCGGACGCAGAAUUCUCUUCUGCAGUUUAAUGAUUUGUUUUAAUGGCACGUAAACUGACGCAUUGCAGAGCAGUGCUCCAGAGAUAAGCCAUCCAUACACAGUCAGAGUUCUCCCUGGUGAUAAAAGACUCCUUUAACGUAGGAUAAGGAUCACGGCACCUGCUGUAAUCCACUUACCUCUGGGACUGCACAGCACACCUGCGUGGCACGAAGCAGGGUCUGACAUCUCAUUCUGCACGUGGAGCUGGAGCUGCUGUGGGAGUUAUCCCAUGUUCUGGAUUUUGGUAACAGAAGACUGCCCAGGUACUGCCCAUUUGUGAUUAAAGACAUUUGGAGAAGCCCUCCAAAAUUCAGCUUUUUAAGAC